UACGUAGGGUGCAAGCGUUGUCCGGAAUUAUUGGGCGUAAAGAGCUUGUAGGCGGUUUGUCGCGUCUGCUGUGAAAUUUCGGGGCUCAACCCCGAACUUGCAGUGGGUACGGGCAGACUAGAGUGUGGUAGGGGAGACUGGAAUUCCUGGUGUAGCGGUGAAAUGCGCAGAUAUCAGGAGGAACACCGAUGGCGAAGGCAGGUCUCUGGGCCAUAACUGACGCUGAGAAGCGAAAGCAUGGGGAGCGAACAGA
RNAcentral lists this ribosomal RNA (253 nucleotides) under uncultured bacterium. RNAcentral describes it as "partial 16S ribosomal RNA". It matches the Rfam family "Bacterial small subunit ribosomal RNA", at positions 524 to 776 of the family's 1533-position model. The record is from RNAcentral.